This 253-nucleotide ribosomal RNA is filed under the name uncultured bacterium. Its description in RNAcentral is "partial 16S ribosomal RNA". It matches the Rfam family "Bacterial small subunit ribosomal RNA", at positions 524 to 776 of the family's 1533-position model. The record is from RNAcentral.
GACGAACCAUGCAAACGUUAUUCGGAAUUACUGGGCUUAAAGCGUGCGUAGGCGGCUCAGAAAGUUGGGUGUGAAAUGCCUCGGCUCAACCGAGGAAUUGCGCCCAAAACUACUGGGCUUGAGGGAGUUAGAGGUGAGCGGAACUCACGGUGGAGCGGUGAAAUGCGUUGAUAUCGUGAGGAACACCGGAGGCGAAAGCGGCUCACUGGGGCUUAUCUGACGCUGAGGCACGAAAGCUAGGGGAGCAAACGGG